This 305-nucleotide ribosomal RNA is filed under the name uncultured bacterium. Its description in RNAcentral is "bacterial SSU rRNA". It matches the Rfam family "Bacterial small subunit ribosomal RNA", at positions 333 to 636 of the family's 1533-position model. The record is from RNAcentral.
AAUAUCCUACGGGACGCAGCAGUGAGGAAUAUUGGUCAAUGGUCGGGAGACUGAACCAGCCAAGCCGCGUGAGGGAGGAAGGUACAGAGUAUCGUAAACCUCUUUUGUCAGGGAACAAAGACUGGGACGCGUCCCCGGAUGAGUGUACCUGAAGAAAAAGCAUCGGCUAACUCCGUGCCAGCAGCCGCGGUAAUACGGAGGAUGCGAGCGUUAUCCGGAUUUAUUGGGUUUAAAGGGUGCGCAGGCGGUCUGUUAAGUCAGCGGUCAAAGCCCGGGGCUCAACCCCGGCCCGCCGUUGAAACUGG